RNAcentral lists this ribosomal RNA (925 nucleotides) under uncultured bacterium. Its description in RNAcentral is "bacterial SSU rRNA". It matches the Rfam family "Bacterial small subunit ribosomal RNA", at positions 8 to 923 of the family's 1533-position model. The record is from RNAcentral.
AGAGUUUGAUCCUGGCUCAGAGUGAACGCUGGCGGCAGGCCUAACACAUGCAAGUCGAGCGGCAGCGCAGCAGUAGCAAUACUGUGGGCGGCGAGCGGCGGACGGGUGAGGAACACAUCGGAAUCUACCCUGUCGUGGGGGACAACGUAGGGAAACUUACGCUAAUACCGCAUACGACCUUCGGGUGAAAGUGGGGGACCGCAAGGCCUCACGCGAUUGGAUGAGCCGAUGUCCGAUUAGCUAGUUGGCGGGGUAAAGGCCCACCAAGGCGACGAUCGGUAGCUGGUCUGAGAGGACGACCAGCCACACUGGAACUGAGACACGGUCCAGACUCCUACGGGAGGCAGCAGUGGGGAAUAUUGGACAAUGGGGGCAACCCUGAUCCAGCCAUGCCGCGUGGGUGAAGAAGGCCUUCGGGUUGUAAAGCCCUUUUGUACGGGAAGAAAAGCGUCUGGUGAACAUCCGGGCGUCAUGACGGUACCGUAAGAAUAAGCACCGGCUAACUUCGUGCCAGCAGCCGCGGUAAUACGAAGGGUGCAAGCGUUACUCGGAAUUACUGGGCGUAAAGCGUGCGUAGGUGGUUUGUUAAGUCUGAUGUGAAAUCCCCGGGCUCAACCUGGGAAUGGCAUUGGAUACUGGCAGGCUAGAGUGCGGUAGAGGGUGGUGGAAUUCCCGGUGUAGCAGUGAAAUGCGUAGAGAUCGGGAGGAACAUCUGUGGCGAAAGCGGCCACCUGGACCAGCACUGACACUGAGCACGAAAGCGUGGGGAGCAAACAGGAUUAGAUACCCUGGUAGUCCACGCCCUAAACGAUGCGAACUGGAUGUUGGUGCAACUUGGCACUCAGUAUCGAAGCUAACGCGUUAAGUUCGCCGCCUGGGGAGUACGGUCGCAAGACUGAAACUCAAAGGAAUUGACGGGGGCGGA